CUUGACCAACAUAGUACAUGCCUCUUGGACAUUUUCAGAGCCAGAAAGGGAGUUGCUGGUCAGCUCUUGAUGAACCUUCUGAAGCAACAAAGCUAUCAGAGCCAACUGAACUUUGGUGCUUCAAGGACUACCCCUUUGGUUUGGAGAUGACUCUCCUGCUUUCUUUAAGACGUGUUUGAUGUCUGAUGAUCACAGCUCAAUUCUUUAUGUGCCAGUGGGGAUUGUGAUAGUUGAAGAUGGGACAAGAUGGGUCUCCCUCUUCGAUUGGAAUCGUAAUCGAGGGAAAAUUAGAGAUGGACAAUCUACAUGAUCUUCCUGAAGCAAUGUGCCUUCUGUUCGGACUAAUAUAUGCAUUGCACCUGAGUUACCCAAAGUCGCUGGGAUACACAUUUGACUUCAUUCAGCGGAUUCUACUUUCCUUGGGGCAGAAAGAACUUCAGCCUAAAACACAAUCGUUGGCAAACCAGCUGUUUUUUGCUUGGCGCACUUUUAAUAGCAACACAUUUACAUUAAACAUGGUCUUCCGAAAAUGAGACUUAAAAAUAUGAGCUUAAUGUUUUUUUAUUAAUGUGAGUGUAAUGUUUUGUAAAAAUGUAAGCUUACUGUUAAACAUGAGCUUAAUGUUUUAAUGUGACUUAAAAAUGCAGCUUUCUGUUAAAAAUGAGCUACUGUUUUCUAAAAAUGUGAGCUUAAGUGUUAAGUGCUUUUCAAGUGUCUUAAUGUGACUUAAAAAUAUGAGCUUGAUAUUAGUAAUGUUUCUUAAAUUAAUGUAAAUGUAUAAACCAAAUAAAGCUGUUAAUGGAAAAACAAUAUUUGUAUUAAAUCAUUAAAACAAGUAAACCAUAUAAAACUCGAAAAUUUAAGUUAAGUCUAUUUGCCUUUUUAAGUUAUCUGUACUUGAACAUUUAAGUUAAUUCAAUGACGAGACCAACAUUAGGUCAACUCAAUUGAAUUGAGUUGUCAAUUUUGCCAUUACUCAAUUUUACUUACGCAACCACUUUCCUCAAAUCAUUUGAGUAGUCUCAACUUAUUAGGGUUUACA
Carassius carassius (crucian carp) is the source of this 1042-nucleotide long non-coding RNA. RefSeq lists it as uncharacterized. NCBI's taxonomy places the organism in Eukaryota, Metazoa, Chordata, Actinopteri, Cypriniformes, Cyprinidae. The record is from RefSeq and is a predicted model, not a curated record. The transcript is spliced from 3 exons.